UGAAUUUAGCACAUUAUAAUACAACGUUGUAAUGAUGACAUGUAAGCCAAGCAUCGGAUUUCGUAUGACUUUUGGAAACUACCAUCUGCUUGUGCUACUCGAUAUACAGAUACAUAAAAGAUGAUUGUUGCAGAACAGUGUAGUGUGCAUUGUCGAACAAAUCAGUAUCAUUGCUCAAACUUGAUUUCCUUUCGAGAGUGCCCAUUCCCCAGAGCCUCCCCUCGUGGCGUGAAGUUGGAACCCCAAUUGAGUCAAUAAAAUCAACACAAAACUCGAUCACCUCCUCUGUUCCAUAUCCCUUGGCGAUGC
Molecule: long non-coding RNA, 309 nt
Filed under: Setaria viridis
Lineage: Eukaryota; Viridiplantae; Streptophyta; Magnoliopsida; Poales; Poaceae
Description: long non-coding RNA (SVIR_LNC007979)
Source: RNAcentral